UUGGCGGGCCCAUGCUGUCAGCUCGAUCUCCUACCAACAGAUUGAAGUCCGUUGAACCAAGCGCGCGAAUCGAGCUCCGUUUUCUCCGCCAUGAUCGUCCCUGCUGGCCGCAACAGAUUUUUCCCAAUCCGCGCUCCCCUGGCUAUAAAGCAGUGCCCCGCGACCCCUUUCCUCCAUCAGGUUGACGCGCAAACCCAGACCUAACAUGCAUGGUCGUGGAUUCCGAUCUCCGGCGAUCGGUGCCCGGGCCCCUUUCCAUCGGUGCUCGCUCGCGCCGCUGCCACCGAGAUCCGGCCGCCAGAUUCCAAGGCGCCGCCGGGCUGUGCUGCUACCGUCUGUUGUUGAGGUUGGUGAUGAUCCGGUCACCGUUGAUUCCUCUGGACCGGCCGCCAGCAAGACUCCGUCGGUGCCGUUCCGACCCGCUGUGCGUGUCGUUGGUGCAGUAGUGAAGAAACGAAGAAAGCGUUGUAUACGUUGGGAAAAGAAGCAAGCCAUUGUUCGUUCCUGGAUGUCUCAUGGAUCUUCAUCGUUCAAACACCCCAUGUCCAUAUGUGUGGCUGGCUUCAAUAUAAUCGCGUCACGUCGUCCAAGCUGCGGUCGUGCCUAUAUUUUUGUAAGAG
This 620-nucleotide unclassified non-coding RNA is filed under the name Zea mays. Its description in RNAcentral is "misc RNA Zm00001eb392690". Lineage: Eukaryota; Viridiplantae; Streptophyta; Magnoliopsida; Poales; Poaceae. The record is from RNAcentral.